GACGAACGCUGGCGGCGUGCCUAAUACAUGCAAGUUGAGCGCUGAAGGUUGGUACUUGUACCAACUGGAUGAGCAGCGCACGGGUGAGUAACGCGUGGGGAAUCUGCCUUUGAGCGGGGGACAACAUUUGGAAACGAAUGCUAAUACCGCAUAAAAACUUUAAACACAAGUUUUAAGUUUGAAAGAUGCAAUUGCAUCACUCAAAGAUGAUCCCGCGUUGUAUUAGCUAGUUGGUGAGGUAAAGGCUCACCAAGGCGAUGAUACAUAGCCGACCUGAGAGGGUGAUCGGCCCAAUUGGGACUGAGACACGGCCCAAACUCCUACGGGAGGCAGCAGUAGGGAAUCUUCGGCAAUGGACGAAAGUCUGACCGAGCAACGCCGCGUGAGUGAAGAAGGUUUUCGGAUCGUAAAACUCUGUUGGUAGAGAAGAACGUUGGUGAGAGUGGAAAGCUCAUCAAGUGACGGUAACUACCCAGAAAGGGACGGCUAACUACGUG
This 497-nucleotide ribosomal RNA is filed under the name uncultured bacterium. RNAcentral's name for it is "partial 16S ribosomal RNA". It matches the Rfam family "Bacterial small subunit ribosomal RNA", at positions 28 to 507 of the family's 1533-position model. The record is from RNAcentral.